RNAcentral lists this unclassified non-coding RNA (144 nucleotides) under Salmonella enterica subsp. enterica serovar Paratyphi A str. ATCC 9150. Its description in RNAcentral is "tp8; sRNA gene". The stretch from base 1 to 116 matches the Rfam family "Short Intergenic Abundant RNA", at positions 37 to 147 of the family's 147-position model. Rfam says of the family: This family contains multiple ncRNA from E. coli that were identified in a large scale screen of E. coli, were they were called candidates 43,55 and 61. These RNAs have also been identified by other groups and called QUAD RNAs. RNAcentral also lists the same sequence under 1 other name. Lineage: Bacteria; Pseudomonadati; Pseudomonadota; Gammaproteobacteria; Enterobacterales; Enterobacteriaceae. The record is from RNAcentral.
AAGGGUGAGGGAGGCGAGCCUCCCUCCUGCGUACUCUCUGUUAAUAUGCUGGCGUAGCGAUGAUUAACAGGAUCAGCAGCAUGAUGACGUAUCUCAUCAUCGUCCCUUUCCUUUUUAGAGCCCCUGCCUCGGUAGGGGCUUUCC